CCAAGGACCUUCACUUUCUCCAUCUGAGGUCCGUGUGGAGGGAAGCAGGAGCCUCGUCUUCAUGCUGAGAGCCCCGCACAGCACAACUCUUGCAGGUGUCCUCCUGGUUCUCAGGGCAGCUAAUCCUUUGAUUGCAAAAAGAGAGUUUCUGUGAAAUCUUGCAAGAAAAUUAAAACACUGCAAUUGUUCUGCAAAUGUCUUCAUGAAGAUCAUCAUUUCUUCCUUUUCUUCACAUCUUGGUCCCAAGCCUACAUGCAAGUGAAUUCCCUCAUGAAGGGAACCAAAAUCUUCUCACUAGGAUAUGCAAAUCCCAGCCUCCCUCCUCCUUGAUGGGACAGCACCCCCACCUCCGUCGAGUCGACCGGUCAGGAGACUGGCUCCAAGCCCAGCUUCCGUGGGUGUGUCCAGGUGAGGGCUAGGACUCAGGGGCACAGAGACCCUGGGGCGUCUUUGCUGCUGGCUCCACCGUUGUCUACCUCAAGCCUGGGUUAGGACACAGGGCUGCAGAAGCCCAUGUGGAGAGGCUUCCACCUCAGGAUCUACAAUGUUCUGAUCUCACCUUUAUAGAUAAUGCCAUUGGGUAGCUAUGCAUAGAAAACUAUGGGAGAAGGACGAAGCCUAUUUCACGCAGGCCUGGAGCUAAGUGUUAGCACACACCUCUCACAGAAGUCUGGGGCAGAAUCCAACUCCCUGAUCCAUAUGGGAUGGGAGCUGAGUGUGGACAAUGACCUGACACGCGGCAGGCCUUCCCUCACCAGGCCCUGAAUGUUAGAUGGCUGGGCUCUGCUGGGUUCAGCUGGCAGCUCCCUCCCUAGGACACUGUGCUCUCAAGGGCACUCCUGAAGCCUGGCACAAUGGUGACACUUCUGCAAGUCUGAUGUAAGUAACCUGAGUUCAGCUCCCCGGACCUGAGUGGUCCUUUAUAAGCCUACUGUAUGUGCUAAAUGGCUCAAAGCAGACGGCUUUCGAUUGUCCCCAGUAUUAGAACAAGGGAGAUUCAUUCUAUAGAGAGCGUAUAAGUCACCAGCCUCCCUGUCCUCCCUCACUCGCUCCCUUCUUCAUCCUCGCAUCUGCAGCCGAAAGAUGUGCAGUGCUUUUCAUUGUGCUGGUGGGUAGAUUGCUCCUUGGUCAGCAUGGGGUGGAUGUUCUGAAACGACGACAUCACAUUUCCUAAAGGAGCAGAAGGCGGGCAUGGGGUGGGCGCUUGUGAUGCCAGCCUGGGCUACACAGUGAGUUCAAGGCCAGCCUGAACUACACGGAGAAACCCUGGCUCAAAAAGAAGAAGAAGGCGAAGAAGGAAAAGGAGAGGGAGAGGGACACAGCGAGGGAGAAAGGGAAGGGGAAGGGGAAGGGGAAGAAGGAAUAGGAGCUGGAGGAGGAGGAGGAGGAGGAGGAGGAGGAGGAGGGGAAGGGGACCCUAGGUCACCCCACGGGUCGGCCGCAUUGUAAAAUGCUGCCCGUGUCCACUGCAGCAAGGGAACAGUGGAUAGGGAAAGUGACGGUCAGAGUCCGGUGGUGCUGGGCUGGGGUCUAGCUCAGUGGUACCGCGCCUGCCUCCCAAAUGCAAGGUCCUGAGUUUGGCCCCUGGUACUGAAAAAAGAGUCCGUGGUGUUUCUCCAAGUUUGCGAAGCUCACCAGGAAGCUGUGUCCCUGGAAAGGACCGGCAGGGGGUGCCGGGCGCAGCUUUGUCUUCGUCUCCUCCCUCCGCUCCCUCUCUGUCUUUUCCCUCACAGCCUGCAUCUCACUCCGUGGCUGCUCCCGCAUCUGAUCCUCUGGCUCAUCCUCUUGUUCCUCUCAUUUGUCAAGUCUUUGCCUUUCUGCUUCCUCAGUUUCCUUUCCAGAUUUUUUUUAAGCUCUUGCCCCGUCUGCCCGUCUCCAAGGGCUUCUGUUUGUGUCUUUCCCUCGAUCACUACUUAAGUUGUUUUAGCCUCUGUCAUAGUUCGAAUGCGUCAUCCAAACUUCAGUUGUUAGAAAUCUAGUCCUCAAAUUUGUGCACUGAUGGUAUUUGAAGGUGGAGCCUCUGGGAGGUCACUAGGGUUCGACAAGAUCACCAGGGCGGGGUCCCUGGGGUGGCACUAGGAAGAAGAAAAGGAAACACUCAAUAAUUUUCUCUUUGUUAUUUUUGGGUUUUAUCCCUUCCUUUU
This 2144-nucleotide long non-coding RNA is filed under the name Heterocephalus glaber (naked mole-rat). Its description in RNAcentral is "lncRNA (ENSHGLG00000035681.1)". Lineage: Eukaryota; Metazoa; Chordata; Mammalia; Rodentia; Bathyergidae. The record is from RNAcentral.